This 791-nucleotide long non-coding RNA is filed under the name Cicer arietinum (chickpea). RNAcentral's name for it is "long non-coding RNA (CARI_LNC002766)". The record is from RNAcentral. Lineage: Eukaryota; Viridiplantae; Streptophyta; Magnoliopsida; Fabales; Fabaceae.
AGAACACCAAUCACAACACUAUAACCCAUUGGAAGAAAAAGUAUCACAUCAAUGAGUGUUAAUAAUGUGACGUCAUAAAUUAGUCAUCUUUUUGGUACAUUGAUUACUUUAUCUAAAAAUAUGAGGAAUAAUAAAUUUUGUUCUUUUAAACAUCUCAAGACAAGCCAUCUAUUUCUAAUACACCAAGGAACAAGACAUUGAUUAUUGAAAGUCAAAUUUACCAAUUGAGAAUUUGAUUCAAUCCAUAGGUAGUGCUACUCAUUUUUGUAAUUGUAUCAAAAGUAACCAUAACUUUUGUAAACUUAGCAUGCAACACAAUUGUAAUCCCCAAAUUCAUAGUGAAACAACCCUAAGAAGUUGUAGAGUUAACCUUAACCACAAGCAACUAUACCAUCAUUUCCAACAGCAACAGAACCAUGAGAGCCAAAAAUAGCUCCAUUAUUAUUACAUUUAAUUUAGUAAUAUUUUGGAGGAUGCCAAAAUCACUUCCUUGACGGUAGGAGACUAUGAGAAUGAGUUGUAACUUGGAAGAACUUGAGAAUUUGAAAUUCUUACAUAAAAUUGGAGUUUGUGUUAGAAGCAUGGUUGUCACAUAAAAACACAUUGAUAAUAAUUCUUUUGGUGAAUAUGUAAAAGCAAUAAUAAAGAGGACUUGUUUCGUACAAUACCAAAUAAUUUCAAUAGUAAAGGUGAUGUUGGCUAGAGUAACAUCACUACACUAGUGAGGCUCGCCUAUGUGACAAGAAGAUGUUGAACUGAGGUAGUAUUCAUUUGAGAAUGAAAAAUAGGAC